CCUACGGGUGGCAGCAGUGGGGAAUAUUGCACAAUGGGGGAAACCCUGAUGCAGCGACGCCGCGUGAGCGAUGAAGUAUUUCGGUAUUUAAAACUCUAUCAGCAUGGAAGAAAAUGACGGUACCUGACUAAGAAGCCCCGGCUAAAUACAGGCCAGCACCCGCGGGAAUACGUAGGGAGCAAUCUUUAGCCGGAUUUCCGGGGGGUAAAGGGAGCGUAUACGGCGGUGCAAGCCAGAGGUGAAAGCCCGGGGCUCAAACCCGGGACUGCAUUGGGAACUGUGCUGCUAGAGUUUUGGAGAGGCAGGCGGAAUUCCUAGUGUAGCGGUGAAAUGCGUAGAUAUUAGGAGGAACACCAGUGGCGAAGGCGGCCUGCUGGACGCUGACUGACGUUGAGGCUCGAAAGCGUGGGGAGCAAACAGGAUUAGAUACCCGAGUAGUC
RNAcentral lists this ribosomal RNA (440 nucleotides) under uncultured bacterium. Its description in RNAcentral is "partial 16S ribosomal RNA". It matches the Rfam family "Bacterial small subunit ribosomal RNA", at positions 338 to 795 of the family's 1533-position model. The record is from RNAcentral.